GAAGGUUGACAAGCUCGUCUUCCCUACGGAUUUCUUGAUCAUCGAUAUUUCUGAAGAUGCAAAUCCGCCGUUGAUUCUUGGUCGAUCAUUCUUAGCUACGGGGCGAGCUACGAUAGAUGUGCCGAAUGGAAGCGUUAUCUUUCACGCAGCUGAUGCGCAUGAGUCCUCUGUCUCUGUUCGUGUUAGGCGACCUGUCACGCCCGCUGCGUUUGAUGUUCAUUGAGACCAUGAGGUAUCGUCGAGCUCUAGACGUUAAAUUAAGCACUUGUUGGGAGGUAACCCAACUAUUUUCUUUGUUUUGUUUUUUUUCGUUCUUUUUGUUUCUUUGUUUUCUUUGUUUUCUUCGUUUUGGGGUUUUUAGUGCAGUGUUGAGCUUGGAAGAUGCGGGAACUCGCGCCUUGUUCAUACCACCACCGUGGAGCAUAUUUUUCUGUAAGUAGUGACACACAUAUCAUCAUCCCUCCAAACUUAUUUUCAAACUUAUGUUCUGUAAUAAGUUUGGGGGAGGGGGGUGAGAAUAGAUAUGUGUAUCACUUUUAUUAUUUUUGUUAGCUUUAUUGUUUUAUCCUGCUUGGUUGGUGGUGUGUGUUUUUUGUUUU
This 599-nucleotide long non-coding RNA is filed under the name Salvia miltiorrhiza (redroot sage). RNAcentral describes it as "long non-coding RNA (SMIL_LNC012839)". The record is from RNAcentral. Lineage: Eukaryota; Viridiplantae; Streptophyta; Magnoliopsida; Lamiales; Lamiaceae.